UGGGGAAUUUUGGACAAUGGGCGAAAGCCUGAUCCAGCAAUGCCGCGUGUGUGAAGAAGGCCUUCGGGUUGUAAAGCACUUUUGUCCGGAAAGAAAUCCUUGGCUCUAAUACAGUCGGGGGAUGACGGUACCGGAAGAAUAAGCACCGGCUAACUACGUGCCAGCAGCCGCGGUAAUACGUAGGGUGCAAGCGUUAAUCGGAAUUACUGGGCGUAAAGCGUGCGCAGGCGGUUUGCUAAGACCGAUGUGAAAUCCCCGGGCUCAACCUGGGAACUGCAUUGGUGACUGGCAGGCUAGAGUAUGGCAGAGGGGGGUAGAAUUCCACGUGUAGCAGUGAAAUGCGUAGAGAUGUGGAGGAAUACCGAUGGCGAAGGCAGCCCCCUGGGCCAAUACUGACGCUCAUGCACGAAAGCGUGGGGAGCAAAACAGGAUUAGAUACCCCUGGUAGUCCACGCCCUAAAACGAUGUCAACUAGUUGUUGGGGAUUCAUUUCCUUAGUAACGUAGCUAACGCGUGAAGUUGACCGCCUGGGGAGUACGGUCGCAAGAUUAAAACUCAAAGGAAUUGACGGGGUCAUAGCUGUUUCC
This 587-nucleotide ribosomal RNA is filed under the name uncultured bacterium. RNAcentral's name for it is "partial 16S ribosomal RNA". It matches the Rfam family "Bacterial small subunit ribosomal RNA", at positions 355 to 937 of the family's 1533-position model. The record is from RNAcentral.